RNAcentral lists this long non-coding RNA (1504 nucleotides) under Marmota monax (woodchuck). The record is from RNAcentral. Lineage: Eukaryota; Metazoa; Chordata; Mammalia; Rodentia; Sciuridae.
AGCAGAUCUGGGCCUGAGCAGUCCCCAAGGAGGAAGCCCAGCUUAGAGCCAGGAAAAGCAGGGUGACGACCCAGUCUCUCCACGCUGCCCCACUCCUGCGACUGAGGCCAGAGGCUGGCGGGGGGAAGCGAGGUGACCUCCAUUUCUGAGCACGGACUUUAGCGUCUUUUCACCCUGCCGAUAGCCUUAGUUCAUGCCCUGAGCGGCACAAGAUUCACCAGACAUCCUUAUUUGUCCCCAUCUUUUGGAGGAGGAAACUGAGACCCUGAAUUUGACUUCACUUCUGGCUUUAAUUAUUGAAGAAACCAUCAAUGAACGGCAACACUGAAUUCUAGGAUCAAGUGCCCAAUCACCUGUUGAUUAUGUCUCCACCUGGAUGUCUAGUAGGUGUCUUAAGGCAUCAAAAACUGAGCCCUUGGGUGUAGCUCAGUGGUGGAGCACUUGCCUAGCACGUGUGAGGCGGCACUACAUAAAAAUAGAUGUAAUAAAGGCAUUCUACUGAUCUACAAAUCCAUAGAUUUGUAGAGUCCUCCUACCAGACUCUCUGCUAUCUCGGGCUUAACCAUCUCGGUGGAUGAUAAAUCUUUGGGGUCACCCUUGACUCCCUUCUCUCACAUUCCACGACUGAUUUUGCAGCAAAUCUAGGCCAUCUCAAAAUAUCUCCAGAAUCCAGUCACUUGCCUCCUCUUGGCCCAGCCACCAUACCCUUCCACUUGGACUCUUACAGUGGCCUCCUCCUUAGGUUGCUGGCUUCUAUCUCUGCGGCUCUUAGUCUGUUUCCUCCAGCACAGCCAGGAGGAUGCUAUGGCCUUCUAUAAGUGACAGCAAGUGUUAGACAGUACUUGGGGAAAUCUGAACCUCACACUCUGGCAGGAAAGUAAAAUGGUGCAGCCACUCUAGAAGAGCCUGGCGGUUCCUCAAAAGGUUAAACCUAGAGUUGCCAGCGACUCCACAGCUAGGUAUGGAUCCAAGAGAAAGGAAAAUAUGUCCACACAAAAUACACAUGCAAAUGUUCAUUGCAGCAUUAUUCAUAGCCCCAAAAAAACUCAAGUUGUCCAUUAGCUAAAGAAUGGACAAACUAACUGUGGUACGUCCACUCAAUGGAAGAUCAUUUGGUGAUUAAAAAAAAAAAAGAAGUACUAAUAGAUACAUGCUGAUACCUGGCUGAAGGUUGAACCCAACGUGCAGAAUGAAAGAAGCCUGUCACAAAAGGCCACAUACUGUAUGAUUCCGGUUAUGUGCAUGUCCAGAAUUGGCAAAUGAACACAAGGCCAGCGUGGUUGGCAGAAGCUGGGGAGACUGAGGGAUGACAACUGAGGGAGCAGGUUUUUCUUUUGGGGGUGGGGGAUGGAAAUGAUCUAAAAUCGAUAGUGGUGAUAUUUGUAUAAAUCUGUGAAUAUACUAUAAACCACUGAGCCGUAUGAUUGAUAUGGGUGAAUUUUACGAUAUGUGAAUUGCAGCUCAAUAGAACUUCUAACACCACCAUCCCCCAAAAAUAAAAAAU